This 497-nucleotide ribosomal RNA is filed under the name uncultured bacterium. Its description in RNAcentral is "partial 16S ribosomal RNA". It matches the Rfam family "Bacterial small subunit ribosomal RNA", at positions 28 to 507 of the family's 1533-position model. The record is from RNAcentral.
GAUGAACGCUGGCGGCGUGCCUAAUACAUGCAAGUCGAGCGAACAGACGAGGAGCUUGCUCCUCUGACGUUAGCGGCGGACGGGUGAGUAACACGUGGAUAACCUACCUAUAAGACUGGGAUAACUUCGGGAAACCGGAGCUAAUACCGGAUAAUAUAUUGAACCGCAUGGUUCAAUAGUGAAAGAUGGUUUUGCUGUCACUUAUAGAUGGAUCCGCGCCGCAUUAGCUAGUUGGUAAGGUAACGGCUUACCAAGGCAACGAUGCGUAGCCGACCUGAGAGGGUGAUCGGCCACACUGGAACUGAGACACGGUCCAGACUCCUACGGGAGGCAGCAGUAGGGAAUCUUCCGCAAUGGGCGAAAGCCUGACGGAGCAACGCCGCGUGAGUGAUGAAGGUCUUCGGAUCGUAAAACUCUGUUAUUAGGGAAGAACAAAUGUGUAAGUAACUAUGCACGUCUUGACGGUACCUAAUCAGAAAGCCGCGGCUAACUACGUG